Molecule: non-coding RNA, 23 nt
Filed under: Arabidopsis thaliana (thale cress)
Lineage: Eukaryota; Viridiplantae; Streptophyta; Magnoliopsida; Brassicales; Brassicaceae
Source: RNAcentral
AUUGUCACUACCUCCCCGUGUCA